AUCUGAAGUGACCUUGUCUUUACUAAAAGAUAUUACAGACGAAGAAUUAAAAGAGGUGAUUCCCAAAUUAGGAGUUCGGAUGGAAUUUAAAAGAGCACUUUGCUCAUGGAAUCAAAGAAAUAACUGUGAGAAACCUUCUAUAAGCAACGACCAUAAGGAAGACCAUGAAAAAAACUUCGUUCUAAACAAGAGCAUUCGUUCAUUAUUAUCAGAGAAUGAACACGGAAAAGCAUUACUAAAUAAGAACACUUUGCUGGAAGUCGACAGAAUUUGGCUAAUAAACACUAUAGUGGAGGAAGCCAUCAACAAUUAUUUUAUGUAUUAUUAAUUUCAAAUAAAAUUGUUUUUCCUCAUAUAAAA
Long non-coding RNA from Drosophila teissieri, 360 nucleotides. RefSeq lists it as uncharacterized. Lineage: Eukaryota; Metazoa; Arthropoda; Insecta; Diptera; Drosophilidae. The record is from RefSeq and is a predicted model, not a curated record. The transcript has 3 exons.